AUUGAACGCUGGCGGAAUGCCUUACACAUGCAAGUCGAACGGCAGCACGGGAGCAAUCCUGGUGGCGAGUGGCGAACGGGUGAGUAAUGUAUCGGAACGUACCUUUCAGUGGGGGAUAACGUAGCGAAAGUUACGCUAAUACCGCAUAUUCUGUGAGCAGGAAAGCAGGGGAUCGCAAGACCUUGCGCUGAUUGAGCGGCCGAUAUCAGAUUAGCUAGUUGGUGAGGUAAAGGCUCACCAAGGCGACGAUCUGUAGCGGGUCUGAGAGGAUGAUCCGCCACACUGGAACUGAGACACGGUCCAGACUCCUACGGGAGGCAGCAGUGGGGAAUUUUGGACAAUGGGCGCAAGCCUGAUCCAGCCAUGCCGCGUGAGUGAAGAAGGCCUUCGG
This 391-nucleotide ribosomal RNA is filed under the name uncultured bacterium. Its description in RNAcentral is "bacterial SSU rRNA". It matches the Rfam family "Bacterial small subunit ribosomal RNA", at positions 30 to 421 of the family's 1533-position model. The record is from RNAcentral.